GCGGGAGUAGUCAAGUCUGGUCAAAGGCGCCAGAUUCAGGGUCUGGUCCCAUAGGGGUUCCCAGGUUCAAAUCCUGGCUCCCGCA
Molecule: transfer RNA, 85 nt
Filed under: Thermoplasmata archaeon
Lineage: Archaea; Methanobacteriati; Thermoplasmatota; Thermoplasmata
Also listed under: 1 other name
Description: tRNA-Leu
Rfam family: tRNA
About the family: Transfer RNA (tRNA) molecules are approximately 80 nucleotides in length.
Source: RNAcentral